CACGUAGUUAGCCGGGGCUUUCUUCUCAGGUACCGUCAACCCCGGGGCAGUGACUCCCCAGGGGAUUCUUCCCUGGCAACAGAGCUUUACGAUCCGAAGACCUUCCUCACUCACGCGGCGUUGCUCCGUCAGACUUUCGUCCAUUGCGGAAGAUUCCCUACUGCUGCCUCCCGUAGGAGUCUGGGCCGUGUCUCAGUCCCAGUGUGGCCGUUCACCCUCUCAGGUCGGCUACGCAUCGUCGCCUUGGUGGGCCGUUACCCCGCCAACCAGCUAAUGCGCCGCGGGCCCAUCCGAAAGUGACAGGUUGCCCCGUCUUUCCCGAACCCUUCAUGCGAAAGGUCCGCUUAUCCGGUAUUAGCAUCCGUUUCCGGAUGUUAUCCCGGUCUUUCGGGCAGGUUGCCCACGUGUUACUCACCCGUCCGCCGCUAAGCUUUCGCAGCUUCCACCCGAAGGCUUCCGCCGCGAAAGCUCCGCUCGACUUGCAUGUAUUAGGCACGCCGCCAGCGUUCGUCCUGAGCCAGGAUCAAACUCU
This 532-nucleotide ribosomal RNA is filed under the name uncultured Thermobacillus sp. RNAcentral describes it as "partial 16S ribosomal RNA". Lineage: Bacteria; Bacillati; Bacillota; Bacilli; Caryophanales; Paenibacillaceae. The record is from RNAcentral.